CUCUUACAAAUAUUUUUGGAUCUCGUAUAUGCUUGAUAUACGGACGUAUAUACGGUAUGUACGGUAUACAUACGUAUAUACGGUCUGUACGGUAUGUAUACUUAUAUACAGUUGUACAGUAUGCAUACGUAUAUACGGUCUGUACGGUAUGCAUACGAAUAUACAGUUGUACGGUAUGCAUACGUAUAUACGAUCUGUACGGUAUGCAUACGUAUAUACGGUAUGUACAAUUUCAUACCGUAGCCGAGCUGGAAGUUGGUGGGCCGAUUGGUAGGCCCAAAUAGUAAGCCCAAAUAGUAAGCCCAAAUGGUAGGCCCAAAUGGUAAGCCCAAUUGUUCGGCCCGAAUGGUAGGCCCAAAUGUUAAACCCAAAUUGGUUCGAGCCGGUUCUAAAUGUGGAUGGUUCGGUUUCUUCGGCCCAAUUGGCCAGCCCUAAUGCUUAGCCCAAGGAUUGAGCAAGCCCAAGUCAUCAUCACUGGGUGACAUGUUUUAUUGGCGUGCUUUUGAGAAUGAUUUGUUUUGAGUGAUGCUAAUUGAGAAGCGAAACGCUUUGUGGGAGUGUUUACUGUGCUUGUAUGCCAGUACAGGAUGACGAUCUGUGUGAAAACAGCUAUAUGUGCAAUGCCACGUGGUGAUUUGAGUGUGGGUUGCUUGAGGCAAUUGUUGUGUUGUAAUUUUGAGAAAUGAUGCGGUGAAGGAAUGUCAUGUUGAUGACUUAAGUGGGGAUGAGGAUUUCAUUUGUGAAUUCUCGUUGUGUGAGUUUACGUUUGUGAUGAAAGGAUUUAGUGGCCAUAGGAAUGUAUUUUUAUACAAAGGGCUGUGGUUUUGUAGAUUACUACAGUUUUGGGAAAGAUGGAGAUUCGAUGGUUAGGUUAACUGUAAUCGAGAGCAAUUAACUUGCGCUUAAAUUUCGGGACGAAAUUUCUUUAAGGAGGGUAGAUUGUAAUAACCUAGUUUUUUUUAAUCAAACAAUUUGGUGGCAAACACCGGUUCCGUGAUUUAAGGUUAGUGGACAAUUGCAUAAUUUGAAGGCCGGUGCUUUAACAUGAUUAUGCAUGAGUGGAAGAACGAAUCAAUUAAGCUAAGAAACGAAUUCUCUCUCUCUCACGUCCGAAACCACCCAAAACAGAGCAAAACUUCUCCAAACUCUCUCUCACUCCACCGGCCACCAAUCAAGACCAGAACACUUCCUAUAGCUUCGCCUCGACCUUGCGCAGCUGCAGGUGGCAGCCUUGAACCACGACACGGCCACCAGCGGCGGCGGGAAGCUCCGCCCGGUUUGAGCUCGUUUUGGUUCCAAGCUUGAUAUCUCAAGCUACCGGCCAACAAUCCUCACCAAACUUCACCCACGAGCUCGCCUCAACGUCCUGAAGCUCCCAGAAGUGGCCUUGCACGGCGGCGCUACUCGUGGUGGCGGCUGGAAGCCAGACCCGAUCAAAUCGAAAACCGAAGCUUCGAUCGGUAUAUCUCGAGCUGUAGUGCAUCGUUUUGAUUGAUUCUUUUUCCAGUGGGUUCCCCUUGAUGUUGUUAACAACUCUCUAGAAGGCAUCGAGGCCUGAAAUUGAAGUUUUUACGUCGAUCGGAGCCCUCGCCGGAUUCUGCAAAAUUCUGCAAAUUUUCCGACCACCGAAGCUUUCGAUCGGUAUAUCUCGAGCUACAGACCAUAUUUUUCUGUGAUUCUUGAACCAAUGCGUUCGUCUUGAGUUUCUUAACAACUCUCUAGAAGGAAUCGAAGCCUGAAAUUGAAGUUUUGACGUCGAAAUCAAGCCUUGCCGGAUUCUGCAAAUUUCGCCGGAUUCUGGAAAUUUUCCGGCCACCUCGACUGUUCUAGGUUAUUGACGGUUUGAGUUGGUGGACGAUUGUGGAUCGUAUUUUGAGCUGAAUUGAAGACGCAGCGGGAUUAUCGAGCGGGAAAUCCUACAGGUCAGGAGAACCAGGACGGUGAUCGGGCUGCUUAGAGUAGUGUUAUGUGAAUUACAGCAUUAUAUUGUGAGGUUUGUUAUGCUCAUUUAGAGCUUUGCAAUUUUACUUUGUAAGAGUGAAUUGUAAUAAUUAACUCGAGGUUUUCGAGUUUUUGUGUUGAGUGGCGAGUGGUAUGUUUGUUUGUGAGAAAAAAAUUCAGAACGUUAUUUGUAUUAAUUGUUUAUUCAUGUUUCGGAUUUGAAUUGGUUAUUCAAAAUUCGGGGCGUG
Rosa rugosa (rugosa rose) is the source of this 2189-nucleotide long non-coding RNA. RefSeq lists it as uncharacterized. The record is from RefSeq and is a predicted model, not a curated record. Lineage: Eukaryota; Viridiplantae; Streptophyta; Magnoliopsida; Rosales; Rosaceae. The transcript is spliced from 3 exons.